Molecule: transfer RNA, 73 nt
Filed under: Planctomycetaceae bacterium
Lineage: Bacteria; Pseudomonadati; Planctomycetota; Planctomycetia; Planctomycetales; Planctomycetaceae
Description: tRNA-Pro
Rfam family: tRNA
About the family: Transfer RNA (tRNA) molecules are approximately 80 nucleotides in length.
Source: RNAcentral
CGGGCGGAGGUGCAGAUGGGAGCACGCCGGUUUUGGGAACCGGAGGCUCUGGGUUCGACCCCCAGGCGCCCGA